UAGGUGAACCUGCGGAGGGACAUUA
RNAcentral lists this ribosomal RNA (25 nucleotides) under Erysiphe australiana. Its description in RNAcentral is "partial 18S ribosomal RNA". Lineage: Eukaryota; Fungi; Ascomycota; Leotiomycetes; Helotiales; Erysiphaceae. The record is from RNAcentral.